This is a long non-coding RNA of Sinocyclocheilus rhinocerous, 454 nucleotides long. RefSeq lists it as uncharacterized. The record is from RefSeq and is a predicted model, not a curated record. The transcript has 2 exons. NCBI's taxonomy places the organism in Eukaryota, Metazoa, Chordata, Actinopteri, Cypriniformes, Cyprinidae.
CAUUGUGCUUAUUGAAAAUAAACCCAGAAAAAGUCUAAAGGUGAUUGUUAUAUUUGCCAAAUAUAGUAGAGAGAAAACUUAAGCCAUAUAUUCAGUACAGUGUGUCUCAGUGUAGAAUGUGAAGAGCUGCUGGAUUCAGUGCAGCAGCAGGAUGAAGGAGAGCAGAGAACAGCACAGGAACAGGAAGCUCUGAGUGACGCUCUCAGCACCGUUACACAGGUUCCCCUCACAACAUGAGAUGCUCUGAACAUCAGGGACUGAUGUUGUGGCAUUACAAAUGGCUUCAGAGACACAGCCUUUUAGAACCAUUGACUUGCCUCCGAAACUCCCUGAUGAAAAGAAAGAUUCUCACCCGUUGCUUUAAGGCACUGGUCUUCACUCCCUGUACAGCUCAAUAUGUUUGAGCAGCUCUUCUCAUCACAAGAGUAACAUUUCUUUCCAUAGGAGCUGGACU